This 136-nucleotide non-coding RNA is filed under the name Paramoeba aestuarina. The record is from RNAcentral. Lineage: Eukaryota; Discosea; Flabellinia; Dactylopodida; Paramoebidae.
GUUAUUAUGAAUCAAUGGUACAGAAAUAAGAGAGUGAAAGUGGGCGACAAAUGGCACAUGUAUGAUAAUAGUUGGUAAUAUAAUUGACAAUGAACAAAAAAAAAGAAAAAAAAAAAAAAGAAAAAAAAAUGAAAAA